This 63-nucleotide transfer RNA is filed under the name Turnera scabra. RNAcentral's name for it is "partial tRNA-Leu". Lineage: Eukaryota; Viridiplantae; Streptophyta; Magnoliopsida; Malpighiales; Passifloraceae. The record is from RNAcentral.
GGGGAUAUGGCGAAAUUGGUAGACGCUACGGACUUAAAAUCCGUCAACUUUAAAAGUCGUGAG